RNAcentral lists this ribosomal RNA (329 nucleotides) under uncultured eukaryote. Its description in RNAcentral is "partial 18S ribosomal RNA". It matches the Rfam family "Eukaryotic small subunit ribosomal RNA", at positions 1470 to 1796 of the family's 1831-position model. The record is from RNAcentral.
CCCUUAGAUGUUCUGGGCCGCACGCGCGCUACACUGAUGCAUUCAACGAGUCUAAAACCUGGUCUGAUAGGGCUGGGUAAUCUUUUGAAACUGCAUCGUGAUGGGGCUAGAUUAUUGCAAUUAUUAAUCUUCAACGAGGAAUGCCUAGUAAGCGUGAUUCAUCAAAUCGCGUUGAUUACGUCCCUGCCCUUUGUACACACCGCCCGUCGCUCCUACCGAUUGAGUGUGUUGGUGAGGAGUUCGGAUUGGCUCUUAGUGGUGGUUCGCCACCACCUAGAGCUGAGAAGUUCUCCAAACCGCCCCACUUAGAGGAAGGAGAAGUCGUAACA